Long non-coding RNA from Oncorhynchus keta (chum salmon), 606 nucleotides. RefSeq lists it as uncharacterized. The record is from RefSeq and is a predicted model, not a curated record. The transcript has 3 exons. Lineage: Eukaryota; Metazoa; Chordata; Actinopteri; Salmoniformes; Salmonidae.
CCCUGUAUAAAGCCUCGUUAUUGUGUUACUUUUUAUUACUUUUUACUUUAGUUAAUUUGGUCAAUAUUUUCUUAACUCUUCUUGAACUGCACUGUUGGUUAAGGGCUUGUCAGUAAGCAUUUCACGGUAAGGUCUACACUGUUGGUUAAGGGCUUGUAAGUAAGCAUUUCACGGUAAGGUCUACACUGUUGGUUAAGGGCUUGUAAGUAAGCAUUUCACGGUAAGGUCUACACUGUUGGUUAAGGGCUUGUAAGUAAGCAUUUCACGGUAAGGUCUACACUGUUGGUUAAGGGCUUGUAAGUAAGCAUUUCACGGUAAGGUCUACACUGUUGGUUAAGGGCUUGUAAGUAAGCAUUUCACGGUAAGGUCUACACUGUUGGUUAAGGGCUUGUAAGUAAGCAUUUCACGGUAAGGUCUACACUGUUGGUUAAGGGCUUGUAAGUAAGCAUUUCACGGUAAGGUCUACACUGUUGGUUAAGGGCUUGUAAGUAAGCAUUUCACGGUAAGGUCUACACUGUUGGUUAAGGGCUUGUCAGUAAGCAUUUCACGGUAAGGUCUACACUGUUCUAUUAGACGCGUGUGACAAAUAAAGUUUCAUUUGAUUUU